Molecule: unclassified non-coding RNA, 384 nt
Filed under: Zea mays
Lineage: Eukaryota; Viridiplantae; Streptophyta; Magnoliopsida; Poales; Poaceae
Description: misc RNA Zm00001eb134190
Source: RNAcentral
CCCGUCUGCGGCUCCGGUGACAGCCGCCACCGCUUCGGACUCCAGAUCCUUUAUCACGUACAGCAGCUAGCCCAUGAAUGUUCCGGCGGCAGCGUCUCAGCCUCCGCACCGCCCUUCAUCCCUUCGUUCAGCAGCUCCUCCCAAAAGUCGUCGUGAGCUCCGCCGUCUCGAACCCGCGCUGCUGCUGGCUCCACGCGCGGCCACCCUGCUUCUCGCCCCCGUCCUGCUUGCGCUUGCCGAGCCCCUAGAUGUUGAGCGCCAGGUUCUCCAGCUCCGACGUGGUCCCUCGCUCGUCCAGCUCCGCAAACAGCGCUCGCGUGGCAGUGGGGUCGUCGUCGUCGCCCUGCUGCGGCUCCUCCUCCUCCUGCACGCCACCGUGGGUCG